This is an RNA transcript of Ruditapes philippinarum (Manila clam), 1463 nucleotides long. RefSeq lists it as uncharacterized. The record is from RefSeq and is a predicted model, not a curated record. Lineage: Eukaryota; Metazoa; Mollusca; Bivalvia; Venerida; Veneridae. The transcript has 4 exons.
UACUGAUGGUUGAUACAUUGAUCUCUAAAUAGGUCCUGUAGAAUCAUUUGAUUACAAGGAUGAAAUAGCACAAGGAUCAUGUACAUCAAUUAUCCCGGACACACAACCUGACCAUGUAUAUGCUGUUAGACGGACUUGUCCGUCGGCUGAAACUUGCGAGGCAGUAUGCAAAAAUGUGGGGAAAAUAUGUUACAAUGCCUUACACGUGUACUCUGGAACAAUUCUCGCGGCUGGUGAUACGGGGAAAGCAGGACUCCGUUCGUAUAAAUAUAACAGUUGUACAGGGACAGGUUGUGGGCCCAACUUUUGCUGUUGUGCAAACAACAAACACACUACUCCAAACCCGUUAGCCUACAAGGACGAGAUUGCACAGUCCACGUGCACCGCCAUUUUACCCGGAAAGCCGUCUCACGUGUAUGCUGUAAGACGAACUUGUUCCGCCUCGACAGCCACGUGUACAGCUAUCUGUGCCAACUUAACUAAAAAAUGUUUCAAUGCCUUGCACGUGUAUACUGCUGCAUCACUAAGCAACACGGACACGGGGAAGUUAGGGCUGCAUACAUACAGAUACAACAACUGUGACCUCGGUGGAUGUGGACCAAACUUUUGUUGCUGCUCAGGCUGAGAAAUGAUUCUUGCAAAAGACACACAAUUUCUUGGAAGAUUAAAUGAGCCGUGUCACGACAAAACCAACAUAAUGGGUUUGCGACCAGCAUGGAUCCAGACCAGCCUUGGCAUCCGCGCAGUCUGAUCAGGAUCCAUGCUGUUCGCUUACAAACCCUAUUACAAGUAGAGAAACUGAUAGCGAACAGCAUGGAUCCUGAUCAGACUGCGCGGAUUAUGUUGGUUUUGUCAUGACACGGCUCAAAUUUCUUUAAUUUACGAGUCAUCCAAUCAUCUGCUUAUUUCUUUACAUGUAAAUGCGUAGCGUUAUUUAGAGCUGAUUUUAAUCAAAUUGCAAGUCACUUAACUAUGAAACAUCGUCUGUCAUCAAAGAGUUUUAAAAUGCUACUUAAGAACACACAGUGAAAGGAUGAAAUAAAAUAUUAUCUGUUUAAAAUAACCUCGACCUUCACCUUUAGCAUGACACCAAAGGUCUCCUGUAUAACAGGUUAUAUACUAAUACGUUAUGAUUUCGAGAUAGCAUUUGGGAUGACAACACUGCGCUUAUGUAGAAUACAUGUUUUUUUCUAAUCUUUUAUUAAAUAUCAGCCCCACUUACAUAAAUUAUUAUUGUCAUAAUUUUUUGUUUAAGGGUUACCUUUAUCAUGUUUACUUUUGAAAGGUGUGAGUCUGUUUAUAAAUCAGCAGACACAAGAUUCUGGUACACACCUUUUCAUUUUCACUAUUGUAACUUUGUAAAGGUGAAUUUCAUUGGAUAUAACAUUUGUAUACACUGCUACAGAAACUGCAAAUUCAUUAUUUUCUUUUUAUACUCAAACAAAUAAAUUGUGCAGCAAUAA